Long non-coding RNA from Cervus elaphus (red deer), 1274 nucleotides. RefSeq lists it as uncharacterized. NCBI's taxonomy places the organism in Eukaryota, Metazoa, Chordata, Mammalia, Artiodactyla, Cervidae. The record is from RefSeq and is a predicted model, not a curated record. The transcript is spliced from 5 exons.
CAGCGUGCGGAAGAGCCGGGGGGCGGUGCGUCUCGGCCCCACGCGCUCCUCUGCGCGUCGCCCUCGCCCUCCGGGUCGGAUCGCGCUGACGGCACAGGUCGGGCUGAGUUUGCCCCCCCGGUGCCGACGGCCGAGAUCUGAGCUGGCGUAUCUUGGGCACGCGCAGGCUGGCGUCUGUGACGGGCAGGGGACGCGCGGGGAGGGCCCCUGGCCGGGGAGGGGAGGCCCCGUUUGAGGGUCCCUGGCCGGGGCCGGUUUCAGGGUCUCCGAGGACCCCGAGCGUCCCCCGCACCGUGGGCCCACCUCGCGCGGUGCCCCCGGGGACCAGCCUGACCGGGGGUUGGGGGCAGUGUCCCCCGGAGGGAGGAGACAGGAAAGUGGGGUCAUUAUUUCCUCAUUUUUUAAAUAAUGUCAUCGUUUUCCACUGUGUGGCUAGAUCAUAAUUCAUUUAACUAGUGGUUUAUUGAUGGACGCUUGAUGGACCCAAACAUCUUUGAAUGUUAUAGACAUUUUGCUCAAUGUCAUUUUGGCACAUGAAGGAUCCUUGGGCUGCUAGUGGGAGGUGGACUCAGAGACUGAGGAAAAUCAGGAGACCAAAGAGGAGGUGACUGCAAUAGUCCAGUUUCCUUUUAAUGGGAGGAUAAUUGCUUACGAUGCUGUGUCGGUCUCUGCCAUCCAGCAACAUGAGGCAGUCUGAUUACCAAGGUCAUGGACCUCUUCCAAAGAGAUAAAUCGUGCACCUGUCCAAAGAGAAGAAAAUCAACGACAGCCAUGAAUCUGCUUAAGGAACCUGUGCUCAUAAACCCUGUUUGCAGGCUCUGUACAUUGAGAGCAGUGUUUCUCAACUGGGAUGAUUUUGCGCGCCCCCCCCCCCCCCCCGGGGACAUUUGGCAAUGCCUUGAAGCACUUGCAGCUGUCACACCUGGGGGUGGUGAUACGCCGCUGGCAUUGCAUGGGAAGAGGCCGGGAACGCCGCCAAACCCUACCAGGCACAGAACAGAGAAUUCUCUGGCCCAAAAUGUCAGUAGGGCUGAAGAUGAAAAACUGUGACCUAUGGGUAAACUGGGGAGAGACACCGCGCUCAGUUGUAACUGGAGCACCCCUCCCCAGAUCUACAGUUCACCCCAACAAUUCUCUCUCCCCAGCUACCCUGAAAAACCCUGCUCCUAUAGGCACAGGGAGGGUCAGCCAAGUCUGUUCGCGAUGGCUUCAAAUUGGAACCAGCCCCCAUGGCCUGUCAGGAGGAGACUGAUAAACAGUGUGGUCACAUGGUG